GAGUCAGCAACAACCCGACAAAUCAAUCUGUUGCUUUAACUUUGAUCGUUUUUCUGUUUGGCAAAGCAAGGCCGUUGUUCCUAAUCAAAGCUUUACCCUAAUCUAUAAAUCAUUUUCCAACUGUUUGGGCUUUUUUUUUUUAGAAAUGAAGCAACGGGCUAACAAACAUAGCAAGGUGUGCGUAAAGUUGCUUGUAUCUUUUCUAACCAAACCUGUGUGUUUUUAAGCUAAAGUUUAGACACUCAAUAAGAUCCAGCUUAUAGGUUCAUCGAACGCCUUGAGUAGAAAAGAUUUACUUUAUGUUUUCAUGCCGUGUGAGGAAGAACAAAACAAAUGUCURAAUUCUGUGUGCAGAUGUUUUGUCRAAUGAUUUUAAAGGAUGUUUUUGUCAAAACAUUCACCAAAUAGCUGGAAGAUGAUAAAAGUUACAGCAAUAAGAAAAUGGAACUCCAUGAUGCUUAACUUCCUGACAUGUCGCUGAAGCUCCAAACUUUAUUCUGAGCAAUCUCAAUUUCAAGCACAGAAAUGGGCUUUUAUUUUGUAAGGACUUUUAUCCAAUCCUGGCCUUGACUCACUGAUUUGAGAUCAGCCGUUUUGUUGUUCUGUCUAAAUCGAGGAGGAGAGGGUCAACCCCAAACUGAUCCAAGGCCAGCUGCCACAGGCACGAACCUCUCUGCUGUCCUCAGAAAGGACCCUUUGUGCCUGGCUCUGGGGGUGCCUCCACACUCAGGUUUUAACUUUCACUGACUCCAUCUUCAGCCAAUAGGACCUUCACCUGUCUGUGGCCAGGAAGAGGGGGAAAACUACACACGAAACAACCCAGUUUCUGAGGCGAAAAAAAAGGCUCGCUUGGGUUUGAGAUUGCUCAGAGUGGCCUGCAGCAGCUGCUAAACUCCAUCCUGGGACGUUUCACAAAGUGAGGAAGACUAAAAAGAUGCAUCUUGACAAGCUUACAAKCUGCUUGCUGCCUAACAAGUUCCAGCACAGCUUCGACAAGAGCCGGAGGCCACGUCUACAAACCCCUGAAUAAUCACUGCAACCUCUCUGAGACCGUGUUCACCAGGACCUCAGAGCUGCAGCAUUCCAAAUAUUAAAGCUCCGCAGCUGCUAACAGGUCUGAACAGCACUUUUAUGCCCCGGAGGAAUAGUUUCCCCGCCACUCCAAACAAGAWGAGAAGUCGCUCCUUUCUAAAGACAKCUGGUCCUAAUAUCAAACUGUUUGCAGUUUUGUUCCCAAAACUGGUUGUUUGUGUCAGAACUUGUCUCUUUAAGUUGCAGGUGGACCUCAGCUCCCCCUCUGGAGGACUGUGGACCAGCUGGACACCAAGCUGAGACCUCUCCAUGAACUCUGAAAGGUUGUGUCCAAGUCUGUCCACAAGGGGGCACACUUGGGGGCAUUCAAAUUCACGUGAGGGGGAGACAUUGCAGCUCCACUCGUCAGACCCUUCAACAUCUGGAUGGAACAAUGUGUACAACGCCCCACUAAGUUUUUCUUUCUUUUUAACCCUAUUACUAAAAGAAAAGUCAAAUAUAGUCUGUUUUAAUAGCUCAACAUGCAUUUUAAGUUGUGAAGAAAUACUUUAGGCCUACAUCAAACUGUUUUUCUCUAAGGAAAACCCUUUUUAUUUCCCUAUAAUUAUUUUAUCCUUGGGAGGAAAAACAAGAAAAAAGAAAAAAAAA
Molecule: long non-coding RNA, 1680 nt
Organism: Austrofundulus limnaeus
Lineage: Eukaryota; Metazoa; Chordata; Actinopteri; Cyprinodontiformes; Rivulidae
Exons: 3
Source: RefSeq, a predicted model, not a curated record